This 1091-nucleotide long non-coding RNA is filed under the name Capra hircus (goat). Its description in RNAcentral is "lncRNA (ENSCHIG00010017620.1)". Lineage: Eukaryota; Metazoa; Chordata; Mammalia; Artiodactyla; Bovidae. The record is from RNAcentral.
AACUCUCUUGCUUUUUCCGUGAUCCAGCGGAUGUUGGCAAUUUGAUCUCAAUAGCUCAGCUUCCCUCAAUAGCUCAGCUUCCCCAACUAAAGUGGUAUGUGCCAGGAGACAGAGACACACACUAGGUUUGGGAGGAAAAGGGCGCUUGGAACAUGUACAGAUAGAGCUCAAGACAAGAGCAGGUCAAAGGAAUGAAUGAGCCAGGACACAGUUAAAGACCGAUGUGCAUCUCUAGCUAGCUUUCCUUUUCUGCCUAUUUGCUUCAUACCCACACUGAAAAUCAAGCAGAAACACUGGUUUCUCUCAGUAUUCAUUCAUUUUCAUCUUUCAUUAAAGAUACUUCAUUUUCCCAUGCUUCUUCUUUGUCUUGCUAUGCUCCCAUUUAAUUAUUCGAUAAAUGAGGUGAUUAACCAGAAUGGGCUUUAUACCUUCUAUGCAACUGAAUUUUGCAAAGAAACCAAGACUGUCAGAAAUGUUACCGCUGCUAAAAAAUUAACAAAUGAAUGGUUACAAUUAUUGAAUCUCACCAAUCUGAUCAAUUCCAAACCCAAGUUGCUUAUUAUAUAAAAAAGUUUCGUAGGGAAGGGGAGCUGUAUUACCUCCAUAUGAAAGAUCAUCUGACAAAAGAUUUCAGUGAAUCCCCAGUUUUUUUUCAUGAAAAUGAUUAAUCAUUGUAGUGAUCACAAGUAUGCCCAGUAGAAAAUUAGGCUGAUUAAAAAUGUGAUUAAGGAAGCCAAUUAAGCAAGCAAUCUACCAAAAAUCAGCUUUUCUACACAAGAGGUAAUAAGAUGGUAUUUCUAUUUUCAAGAAGCCUCUUCUAAUGUAAUUUAAUUUUAAAAAUUAAUAGGAAUAAUUCACCUUAUACCAAUGCAGGGAAUUAGAAAAAUAGGAAGACCUGGCACUUUUUCUGAUGGUAGCGAUUAUGAUAAGUUAAAGCUUAAUUCAGAUUUUGUUGUGCCCUGAGCCACGUCCUUGGUCUUUCUGCAUUAUAAAUCCUUCUUGAUGCAUGAAGUUUCAUUGCUUUUUUUCUCUCACACCCUCUGCACAUCCUAACUCUCCCCCAAAAUAUAUCAAAUCCCAGAAGUCAAAUC